UGUGGGAGGGGGCUUGCCCCCGAUAGCGGUGUGUCAGGCUGUGUAUCUGGUGACUGAUACUCCAUCGGGGGCAAGCCCCCUCCCACA
RNAcentral lists this unclassified non-coding RNA (87 nucleotides) under Pseudomonas marginalis. The record is from RNAcentral. Lineage: Bacteria; Pseudomonadati; Pseudomonadota; Gammaproteobacteria; Pseudomonadales; Pseudomonadaceae.